Molecule: small nuclear RNA, 190 nt
Filed under: Dasypus novemcinctus (nine-banded armadillo)
Lineage: Eukaryota; Metazoa; Chordata; Mammalia; Cingulata; Dasypodidae
Description: U2 spliceosomal RNA (ENSDNOG00000036354.1)
Rfam family: U2 spliceosomal RNA
About the family: U2 is a small nuclear RNA (snRNA) component of the spliceosome (involved in pre-mRNA splicing).
Source: RNAcentral
AUUGCGUCUCUGCCUUUUGGCUAAGAUCAAGUGUAGUAUCUGUUCUUAUCAGUUUAUUAUCUGAUACAUCCUCUAUCUGAAGACAAUAUAUUAGAUGGAUUUUUGGAACUAGGAGAUGGAACAGGAACUUGUUCUGUCCACUUGUGCAUCGACCUGGUAUUGCAGUACUUCCAGGAACGGUGCACACACA